Molecule: long non-coding RNA, 1205 nt
Organism: Rhincodon typus (whale shark)
Lineage: Eukaryota; Metazoa; Chordata; Chondrichthyes; Orectolobiformes; Rhincodontidae
Exons: 3
Source: RefSeq, a predicted model, not a curated record
UAGAGGCUACUUCUGAACAGGUAAAAGGAUUCUUGUUGCUCUCAGUUCAAGUGAGCACUGAAGGAAGCAUUACAUUUAAAACUGUUUCGCAAGAGACUGAGAAAUAACUCGAUUGAAGGCGGGUUUGUAACGACCUCCAGCUAACAUGCCCUCACUGAACCUAAAAAUACGAUUUCUCAGGAUUCGCACUGCGCCCUAUACCAUUUCAAUGGCAUACGUUUCCUCAAAGAUAUUUUAAAAUAUGUCUUUGAUGGAAUUUAACGUGAUAUACUGAAAUGUUGCAAUUGCAGUACUCGUAACAAAUUAUUCAAGUUUCGAAUUGAACAUAAAUCGCAACUUGAACCUCUUAGACGACAAAUUCCUGAUCGGUUCUCGCACGGGGAACUGGAAAUUUUACAAAUUCUUUCGAAUUCUGUUUCCAUUUGGGACUUUGACAACGCCGCUUGAUAGCGUGACAAAUACAAGCUGAAUGGCAGUUUUAGAUGAGCUUGAGCCUUAACAAUUCAACUUUCCAGCGAAAAUGCAUCAGUUGAAAUUGUGAAUGAAAAAGAUAGUCACAUAUAAACUGCAUAGUGGAAGAAAAUGCACUCUAAAGUUUUAUGAAGUUGGAUCAUGUUUUGUUUGGUGUAUGAAGUCCAAAGUAACCAACAGCUAGAACUCCUUGGGCUCCUUGGAUAAACGUCAACAGAACUCAUUGCCGUGACUUGAGCGAUGUAUCAAUAGCUUUGUUAUGCAAAUAAAGUGGGGAGCAAUGGCAAACAUUGCCUGGGUAUAUCUUGCAAUCUAACAGCGUAGCCUUUUAUAAGAGGCUCAAAAAAUCAUUCACAACCCUCGAGGAAAAUAUGUCCUGUCAAUGUAUUCAUGAUCUCUCAGGCAUCUUGAGUGUAAUCAAGCAUGAACUUUGAUCUACAUUACAAUCGUUAAAAGUGGCCUCAAAUCGGUCAACAUUUUUUUGUCACAACAUUCAUUUCAAAGUAUUAUACUAAAGUCUUAAUGUCUUAUAGUGUUAAAGCACAGAAAGAGGCCCUUCAGCCCAUUGUCGCCGUUCAGUCAUCAAGCACCAAUCUUCUCAAAUCUUUUUUCUCAGCUCUUCGCCCGUAGACUUGCACGGCAUUUCAAGUGUUCAUGAAGGUAUAUUUCAAAUAACGUAAUGAUUCCAGCAUCCAACAUCAUUUUUACCCACCACCCUGUGCGUGAAAAAUAUU